UAAAUGUUUUUUUUAGAUUAUUUAUAUACGCUUUAUUCGGCAGUGUCAUUUAUCUAUCAUUACUCUGCGAAUACGCACAAAGUUAUUGUCCUCUUCAGAAUCAGGGGACGACAAGCACAACAACAAAAACAAUCCCUGAAAGCAGUGCUUUUGCAUGAUGGAUCGCUUCCCCCGGUACCAUUGGAUUACGCUACAAACAUCAACGAAUCAUAUGCCAGCAUGCUAUAGAAUACAAUACACAUAAGUGGCUAAUUGUAGCUGAUUUGAAAAUACAAACAAUUUUGAAUGGCUUGCAAAGUGGUAACAUAAAGUAUUCUUGCUAUUUUUGUGAAUGGGACAGCCGAGACUCUUCUAAACAUUACAUACAAAGAAACUGGAAACUGCGUUCAACAGCAAUUAUUGGUGAAAAAAGUAACAUAAUUAUUUCUUAGUCAAUCCAAAAGAUAUCAUUUUACCUCCGUUGCACAUAAAAUUGGGCUUAAUAAAGCAAUUCGGUAAUAAGUUUGCCCCAGUUUGUUAACGGAAUGUUCAUGGGCAAAUAUAUAAAACAUCAAUAAAAAGUAAUUUAAUUUUAAA
Stomoxys calcitrans (stable fly) is the source of this 576-nucleotide long non-coding RNA. RefSeq lists it as uncharacterized. The transcript has 2 exons. The record is from RefSeq and is a predicted model, not a curated record. Lineage: Eukaryota; Metazoa; Arthropoda; Insecta; Diptera; Muscidae.